UACAGAGGUCUCAAGCGUUGUUCGGAUUCAUUGGGCGUAAAGGGAGCGUAGGUGGCGGGGUGAGUCAGGUGUGAAAUCUCGGGGCUCAACCCCGAAACUGCACUUGAUACUGCCUUGCUAGAGUACUGGAGAGGAGAUUGGAAUUUACGGUGUAGCAGUGAAAUGCGUAGAUAUCGUAAGGAAGACCAGUGGCGAAGGCGAAUCUCUGGACAGUUACUGACACUGAGGCUCGAAGGCCAGGGGAGCAAACGGG
Molecule: ribosomal RNA, 253 nt
Filed under: uncultured bacterium
Lineage: Bacteria
Description: partial 16S ribosomal RNA
Rfam family: Bacterial small subunit ribosomal RNA
Source: RNAcentral